CCUACGGGAGGCAGCAGUGAGGAAUAUUGGUCAAUGGACGAGAGUCUGAACCAGCCAAGCAGCGUGAAGGAUGACUGCCCUAUGGGUUGUAAACUUCUUUUAUAUGGGAAUAAAACGUUCCACGUGUGGGGUUUUGUAUGUACCAUAUGAAUAAGGAUCGGCUAACUCCGUGCCAGCAGCCGCGGUAAUACGGAGGAUUCGAGCGUUAUCCGGAUUUAUUGGGUUUAAAGGGAGCGUAGGUGGAUUGUUAAGUGAGUUGUGAAAGUUUGCGGCUCAACCGUAGAAUUGCAGUUGAAACUGGCAGUCUUGAGUACAGUAGAGGUGGGCGGAAUGCGUGGUGUAGCGGUGAAAUGCUUAGAUAUCACGAAGAACACCGAUUGCGAAGGCAGUUCACUGGACUGCAACUGACACUGAGGCUCGAAAGUGUGGGUAUCAAACAGGAUUAGAUACCCGAGUAGUC
Molecule: ribosomal RNA, 460 nt
Filed under: uncultured bacterium
Lineage: Bacteria
Description: partial 16S ribosomal RNA
Rfam family: Bacterial small subunit ribosomal RNA
Source: RNAcentral